RNAcentral lists this ribosomal RNA (253 nucleotides) under uncultured bacterium. Its description in RNAcentral is "partial 16S ribosomal RNA". It matches the Rfam family "Bacterial small subunit ribosomal RNA", at positions 524 to 776 of the family's 1533-position model. The record is from RNAcentral.
UACGAAGGGGGCUAGCGUUGUUCGGAAUUACUGGGCGUAAAGCGCGCGCAGGCGGCCAUUCAAGUCAGGGGUGAAAGCCCAGAGCUCAACUCUGGAACUGCCCUUGAAACUAGGUGGCUAGAGUACGGGAGAGGUGAGUGGAAUUCCCAGUGUAGAGGUGAAAUUCGUAGAUAUUGGGAAGAACACCGGUGGCGAAGGCGGCUCACUGGCCCGUUACUGACGCUCAGGCGCGACAGCGUGGGGAUCAAACAGG